This 380-nucleotide long non-coding RNA is filed under the name Elaeis guineensis (African oil palm). RNAcentral describes it as "long non-coding RNA (EGUI_LNC018200)". Lineage: Eukaryota; Viridiplantae; Streptophyta; Magnoliopsida; Arecales; Arecaceae. The record is from RNAcentral.
GCUCCUAAAGCUCCACCUCGCACUGAGAUACCUAUCAGGUAAUAAUAUCCUCUGCUCCCCUUCUUCUCCUCCAGCAUAAUCCUAUCGCCGCGUAGCACCCUCAGGAUUCCUCUACUAGCUACUGUCCUGUAGUCUUUCGAAUCUAGUCUGCUCAGUGAGAUAAGUUCUGUCUGAAAUCAGAUAUGUAUCGGAUCUCUCCCAAUCUUCUCACUGUACCAUCAUGUAUCUCCCAACUGAUCAUCUCAAUAUCUUUGAUCACACAGCUCGAUCCAUCCGGUAGAUAUACAGUGCCCUCACUGUUCUCCAGAGAGUCAAACUACUCCUCUCUACAACAUACUGAAGGAACCAGAUCUAGGAUUUCAGGAUUAGAUCUUGAAACU